CGUCUAUAUACGUAUAGCAUAUCAAUAAGCGGAGGAAAAGAAACUAACAAGGAUUCCCUUAGUAACGGCGAGUGAAGCGGGAAGAGCUCAAAUUUGAAAUCUUCAAGGUUCUACCUUGACGAAUUGUAGUUUAUAGAAGUGUUUUCUGUUAGUAGAGUGGCAAAAGUUCUUUGGAAUAGGACAUCAUAGAGGGUGAGAAUCCCGUAUUUGGUCAUUCCUUCUAGCUUUGUGAUACACUUUCAAGAGUCGGAUUGUUUGGGAAUGCAGUCCAAAAUGGGUGGUAAAUUUCAUCUAAAGCUAAAUAUUGGCGAGAGACCGAUAGCGAACAAGUACCGUGAGGGAAAGAUGAAAAGAACUUUGAAAAGAGAGUUAAACAGUACGUGAAAUUGUCAAAAGGGAAGCGUUUGACACCAGUGUUGUUUUUCCGAAAAUCAAUUACGAAUGUUUUAUUUUUGAGGAAGUUAUGACUUCAUCGGCUUGCUUCUCUCUUUAUGAAACUUUCUUAAUGCACUUUUCGGUUAACAAGUCAACAUCAAUUUCCUUUGUUGUAAAAGAGUAUGAGGAAGGUGGCUUUCUUUUCGGAGAAAGUGUUUACAGCCUUGUACCUCUGCAAUCGGAGAGAUUGAGGUCUGCAGCGUAGAUCCUUCGGGGUUAGAUACAUUUGUGCUAAGUUAUAGCUUUUCAUAGACAACUUGUUGACUAUGUUUAGUCUUGUAGCUUACUCGCUUAUGCUAUUUUACCUACGCUUAGGAUGUUGAUAUGCAUGACUGAUAU
This 774-nucleotide ribosomal RNA is filed under the name uncultured Neocallimastigales. RNAcentral's name for it is "partial large subunit ribosomal RNA". It matches the Rfam family "Eukaryotic large subunit ribosomal RNA", at positions 26 to 641 of the family's 3401-position model. The record is from RNAcentral. Lineage: Eukaryota; Fungi; Neocallimastigomycota; Neocallimastigomycetes; Neocallimastigales.